GCAGUCGUGGCCCGAGUGGUUAAGGCGAUGGACUCGAAAUCCAUGGGGUUUCCCCGCACAGGUUCGAAUCCUGUCGGCUGCG
This 82-nucleotide transfer RNA is filed under the name Rhipicephalus microplus (southern cattle tick). RNAcentral's name for it is "tRNA-Ser". It matches the Rfam family "tRNA". Rfam says of the family: Transfer RNA (tRNA) molecules are approximately 80 nucleotides in length. Their secondary structure includes four short double-helical elements and three loops (D, anti-codon, and T loops). Further hydrogen bonds mediate the characteristic L-shaped molecular structure. tRNAs have two regions of fundamental functional importance: the anti-codon, which is responsible for specific mRNA codon recognition, and the 3' end, to which the tRNAs corresponding amino acid is attached (by aminoacyl-tRNA synthetases). tRNAs cope with the degeneracy of the genetic code in two manners: having more than one tRNA (with a specific anti-codon) for a particular amino acid; and 'wobble' base-pairing, i.e. permitting non-standard base-pairing at the 3rd anti-codon position. The record is from Rfam by way of RNAcentral. Lineage: Eukaryota; Metazoa; Arthropoda; Arachnida; Ixodida; Ixodidae.